AUUGAACGCUGGCGGCAUGCUUUACACAUGCAAGUCGAACGGUAACAGGCCUUCGGGUGCUGACGAGUGGCGAACGGGGGAGUAAUGCAUCGGAACGUACCCAGAGGUGGGGGAUAACGCAGCAAAAGCUGUGCUAAUACCGCAUGUGAGCUGAGGAUGAAAGCGGGGGACCGAGCAGCAAUGUUUGGCCUCGCGCCUUUGGAGCGGCCGAUGUCGGAUUAGCUAGUUGGUGGGGUAAAGGCCUACCAAGGCGACGAUCCGUAGCUGGUCUGAGAGGACGACCAGCCACACUGGGACUGAGACACGGCCCAGACUCCUACGGGAGGCAGCAGUGGGGAAUUUUGGACAAUGGGCGCAAGCCUGAUCCAGCAAUGCCGCGUGCGGGAAGAAGGCCUUCGGGUUGUAAACCGCUUUUGGCAGGAACGAAACGGUGUCCGCUAAUACCGGGCGCUAAUGACGGUACCUGCAGAAUAAGCACCGGCUAACUACGUG
Molecule: ribosomal RNA, 492 nt
Filed under: uncultured bacterium
Lineage: Bacteria
Description: partial 16S ribosomal RNA
Rfam family: Bacterial small subunit ribosomal RNA
Source: RNAcentral